This 253-nucleotide ribosomal RNA is filed under the name uncultured bacterium. RNAcentral describes it as "partial 16S ribosomal RNA". It matches the Rfam family "Bacterial small subunit ribosomal RNA", at positions 524 to 776 of the family's 1533-position model. The record is from RNAcentral.
UACGUAGGGGGCAAGCGUUGUCCGGAUUUAUUGGGUGUAAAGCGCGUGUAGGUGGCCAAGUAGGUCCGCUGUGAAAACUUGAGGCUCAACCUCAAGCUGUCGGUGGAAACCCCUUGGCUAGAGUCCGGAAGAGGAGAGUGGAAUUCCUGGUGUAGCGGUGAAAUGCGCAGAUAUCAGGAAGAACACCAAUGGCGAAGGCAGCUCUCUGGGACGGUACUGACACUGAGACGCGAAAGCGUGGGGAGCGAACAGG